AACUUUCAACAACGGAUCUCUUGGCUCUCGCAUCGAUGAAGAACGCAGCGAAAUGCGAUAACUAAUGUGAAUUGCAGAAUUCAGUGAAUCAUCGAGUCUUUGAACGCACCUUGCGCCCUUUGGUAUUCCAAAGGGCAUGCCUGUUUGAGUGUCAUUA
RNAcentral lists this ribosomal RNA (157 nucleotides) under Armillaria novae-zelandiae. RNAcentral describes it as "5.8S ribosomal RNA". It matches the Rfam family "5.8S ribosomal RNA". Rfam says of the family: 5.8S ribosomal RNA (5.8S rRNA) is a component of the large subunit of the eukaryotic ribosome. It is transcribed by RNA polymerase I as part of the 45S precursor that also contains 18S and 28S rRNA. The record is from RNAcentral. RNAcentral also lists the same sequence under 2 other names. Lineage: Eukaryota; Fungi; Basidiomycota; Agaricomycetes; Agaricales; Physalacriaceae.